RNAcentral lists this long non-coding RNA (337 nucleotides) under Phaseolus vulgaris (common bean). Its description in RNAcentral is "long non-coding RNA (PVUL_LNC003685)". The record is from RNAcentral. Lineage: Eukaryota; Viridiplantae; Streptophyta; Magnoliopsida; Fabales; Fabaceae.
AGACCGCGUCAGCGGAGUUUCGCAGCUUCGUCGAAUCCUGCCUCAAGAAGGAGUCCGGUGAUAGGUGGACGGCAGCACAACUCUUGACCCACCCGUUUGUGUGCAAGGACCCGGAAACUCACUAAGUGGGUUGACCCGGAUAAUUUUACUUUGCUUUAUCUUGGAAUAUCCUUUUUGAGACUAUGUGUAUAUUCACCGGAUUCUAUUUUUUUUAGUUUAAGGAGAAUCAUUCUCCUUUGUAAAUUAUGUUCACAAAUGAUAAAAAAAUUCAUAAUAGAUAUGAUUUUUUCCUUCAAUUUUUUCAUUGUCCAAUCAUCCAUCAUAUUCAAGAGCAAGA